UAGCAAGUACGCUCUAUCGCUGCCCCGCAAGGGGGAGAGGAAAGUCCGAGCAACACAGAGCACCGUACGAGUUAACGGCUCGAUGUCCGCGAGGGUGUAGUAGUGUAACAGAAAAUAACCGCCAGGGGGGCGAGACGCAAUUUUUUCAUAGGGCUUUAUGUUCGAUGGUGUUGUAAUUGUUUUUUCGUCAAGCCUCCUGGUAAGGGUGAAAAGGUGGGGUAAGAGCCCACCGCAGCGGCAGCAAUGUCGUCUGGCAGUACGCCUUACGGGUUGCAAGACCAUAUAUACCGACAAUUAAGGGUUGCUCGCCCAAUGUCGGGGGGUAGGUUGCUAGAGGCUGUGGGUGACCACAGUCGUAGAUAAAUGAUAGAGGCUCUCCCUCGGGGGAGUACAGAACUCGGCUUAUAGUAUUUGCUAUUGA
RNAcentral lists this RNase P RNA (421 nucleotides) under Rikenellaceae bacterium. RNAcentral's name for it is "RNase P RNA component class A". It matches the Rfam family "Bacterial RNase P class A". From Rfam's summary of the family: Ribonuclease P (RNase P) is a ubiquitous endoribonuclease, found in archaea, bacteria and eukarya as well as chloroplasts and mitochondria. Its best characterised activity is the generation of mature 5'-ends of tRNAs by cleaving the 5'-leader elements of precursor-tRNAs. Lineage: Bacteria; Pseudomonadati; Bacteroidota; Bacteroidia; Bacteroidales; Rikenellaceae. The record is from RNAcentral.